UGGUGUGUUUACACCUGCUUCUCGGUACACUGCCACCUACAAGUUUGGCGUGCUCUUGACGGCAUAUAUACACAGGUUUGCGUAAACAAACACUCCUCUGAAAACUGACAGCUGUG
Long non-coding RNA from Etheostoma cragini (Arkansas darter), 116 nucleotides. RefSeq lists it as uncharacterized. The transcript is spliced from 3 exons. Lineage: Eukaryota; Metazoa; Chordata; Actinopteri; Perciformes; Percidae. The record is from RefSeq and is a predicted model, not a curated record.